Molecule: ribosomal RNA, 253 nt
Filed under: uncultured bacterium
Lineage: Bacteria
Description: partial 16S ribosomal RNA
Rfam family: Bacterial small subunit ribosomal RNA
Source: RNAcentral
UACGUAGGGGGCUAGCGUUGUCCGGGAUCAUUGGGCGUAAAGCGCGUGUAGGCGGUCCGGUAAGUCCGCUGGGAAAGUCGGGGGCUCAACCCUCGAAUGCCGGUGGAUACUGUCGGGCUAGAGUGCGGAAGAGGCGAGUGGAAUUCCUGGUGUAGCGGUGAAAUGCGCAGAUAUCAGGAAGAACACCCGUGGCUAAGGCGGCUCUCUAGUACGGUACUGACGCUGAGACGCGAAAGCGUGGGGAGCGAACAGG